AAGUCGUAACAAGGUUUCCGUAGGUGAACCUGCGGAAGGAUCAUUAACACGUAUCCACGUUUAUCAACCAACUGUGAACUUGUUUUCAACAACAACAAACAUACUUCAAUCACCCCCACUUUUGCUAGUUGACUUUUAUACUGUUUUAUGAUGUGUUCAUGCGUUGACGCGCUUGUUUCAUUUUCAUACGACACGUUUAAAUACUAUUUGAACGUUAAAAUUACAACUCUUAGCAAUGGAUAUCUUGGUUCUC
RNAcentral lists this unclassified non-coding RNA (253 nucleotides) under fungal sp. RNAcentral's name for it is "partial internal transcribed spacer region". The stretch from base 1 to 46 matches the Rfam family "Eukaryotic small subunit ribosomal RNA", at positions 1786 to 1831 of the family's 1831-position model. Lineage: Eukaryota; Fungi. The record is from RNAcentral.